CAGUCGCCGCGGGAAUACGGAGGGUGCAAGCGUUAUCCGGAUUUAUUGGGUUUAAAGGGUCCGUAGGCGGAUCUGUAAGUCAGUGGUGAAAUCUCACAGCUUAACUGUGAAACUGCCAUUGAUACUGCAGGUCUUGAGUAAAUUUGAAGUGGCUGGAAUAAGUAGUGUAGCGGUGAAAUGCAUAGAUAUUACUUAGAACACCAAUUGCGAAGGCAGGUCACUAAGAUUUAACUGACGCUGAUGGACGAAAGCGUGGGGAGCGAACAGGAUUAGAUACCCCAGUAGUCCCUGUCUCUUAUAU
Molecule: ribosomal RNA, 301 nt
Filed under: uncultured bacterium
Lineage: Bacteria
Description: partial 16S ribosomal RNA
Rfam family: Bacterial small subunit ribosomal RNA
Source: RNAcentral